This 419-nucleotide ribosomal RNA is filed under the name uncultured Prevotella sp. RNAcentral's name for it is "bacterial SSU rRNA". It matches the Rfam family "Bacterial small subunit ribosomal RNA", at positions 358 to 774 of the family's 1533-position model. Lineage: Bacteria; Pseudomonadati; Bacteroidota; Bacteroidia; Bacteroidales; Prevotellaceae. The record is from RNAcentral.
GGAAUAUUGGUCAAUGGGCGAGAGCCUGAACCAGCCAAGUAGCGUGCAGGAUGACGGCCCUAUGGGUUGUAAACUGCUUUUAUGCGGGGAUAAAGUGCACCACGUGUGGUGUUUUGUAGGUACCGCAUGAAUAAGGACCGGCUAAUUCCGUGCCAGCAGCCGCGGUAAUACGGGGGAUACGAGCGUUAUCCGGAUUUAUUGGGUUUAAAGGGAGCGCAGGCUGAUGAUUAAGCGUGACGUGAAAUGUAGCCGCUCAACGGCUGAACUGCGUCGCGAACUGGUUAUCUUGAGUGAGUUCGAUGUUGGCGGAAUUCGUGGUGUAGCGGUGAAAUGCUUAGAUAUCACGAAGAACCCCGAUUGCGAAGGCAGCUGACGAGUCCUUAACUGACGCUAAAGCUCGAAAGUGCGGGUAUCGAACA